RNAcentral lists this ribosomal RNA (643 nucleotides) under uncultured actinomycete. Its description in RNAcentral is "bacterial SSU rRNA". It matches the Rfam family "Bacterial small subunit ribosomal RNA", at positions 232 to 885 of the family's 1533-position model. The record is from RNAcentral. Lineage: Bacteria; Bacillati; Actinomycetota; Actinomycetes; Actinomycetales.
CGCGGCCUAUCAGCUUGUUGGUGGGGUAACGGCCUACCAAGGCAGCGACGGGUAGCUGGUUUGAGAGAACGAUCAGCCACACUGGGAUUGAGACACGGCCCAGACUCCUACGGGAGGCAGCAGUGGGGAAUGUUGCGCAAUGGGCGAAAGCCUGACGCAGCAACGCCGCGUGCGGGAUGAAGGCCUUCGGGUUGUAAACCGCUUUCAGCAGGGAAGGAGCGAAAGUGACGGUACCUGCAGAAGAAGCACCGGCUAACUACGUGCCAGCAGCCGCGGUAAUACGUAGGGUGCAAGCGUUGUCCGGAUUUAUUGGGCGUAAAGAGCUCGUAGGCGGUUAGUCGCGUCGGAUGUGAAAUCCCAGUGCUUAACACUGGGCCUGCAUUCGAUACGGGCUGACUAGAGUGUUGUAGGGGAGACUGGAACUCCUGGUGUAGCGGUGAAAUGCGCAGAUAUCAGGAAGAACACCGGUGGCGAAGGCGGGUCUCUGGGCAACUACUGACGCUGAGGAGCGAAAGCGUGGGGAGCAAACAGGAUUAGAUACCCUGGUAGUCCACGCCGUAAACGGUGGGCGCCAGGUGUGGGGAACAUUCCACGUUCUCCGUGCCGCAGCUAAGGCAUUAAGCGCCCCGCCUGGGGAGUACGG